This 794-nucleotide long non-coding RNA is filed under the name Meleagris gallopavo (turkey). RNAcentral describes it as "lncRNA (ENSMGAG00000022457.1)". Lineage: Eukaryota; Metazoa; Chordata; Aves; Galliformes; Phasianidae. The record is from RNAcentral.
CCAUUUAAUAUCAGAAAGUUAAAUAAAAUGUAUGUCUUUUAAUUUCAAUCAUAUAUCAUCAAAGUCUAUGAUAUUUUCAACAGAAGCAGGAUCAUAUCUUUAAUUAAAAUUACUGAAAGAAUUCACAUCAGCAAAUGAUGAAGUUUAGAAAUAUUCUAAAUCUCUGUUAAAUUCUGAAAAAACAUUUGCUUGCACAAACUUGGGUACUGACUCCUCCCUCCCUUUUUCCUGUUGGUACACACCGGUAAAGUUAUAUGUGUGGACCAUAAAUGAAGCCUCUCAACAGCCAGACAAGAGCUGGGAUAGGGAUUUUUUGAGUGAUAUAUCCACGUCAUCCAACUUCAGACUCUGAUCCUCAUUUGAAAGUCAACUUUUUUUACACACAUACAUGCAUGAUCUAUGAUGGCAACUCUUGCGUAUUUAGAGAUGUCUCAAAAUGCAGUGCAUGACAAAAAUGUAUAUUUCACCUUACAUCAUUCACAUUUAUACACAGUGUGUUUGUACUUGCUAUCGUGAGUCAACAAGCAUAUCUGGAGUGGUAUAUGAGUACUAUAGUACUCAUUUUUGACAGGGAGAUUCCUCUUUUUUUUAUAUUAUAUGAAGCUGCUUAGCUGUAUUUGCUCAGUAUACGUAAUUCCUCUCUGGUAGCCUUUAAAUAAAUGAAAAAGGAAUUCAUGACACCUGUAUUUUAUUUUCCAGUUGCUCACAGGGUGCAUCCUUGGACAAGUCACUUAGAUGCCGAUCCUGAAAGGUUUUCAAGGCUUCCAUUAAUUCCAAAGACAUCUUUAAAGGGU